Molecule: long non-coding RNA, 750 nt
Filed under: Helianthus annuus (common sunflower)
Lineage: Eukaryota; Viridiplantae; Streptophyta; Magnoliopsida; Asterales; Asteraceae
Source: RNAcentral
UUUCAAAUUUCAAACCUCCAUUCCAUUCUCUCUCUUUCUCUCUCUUCCUAUCAGAUCUGGCGACCGUAAAUCUCGGAUCUGGAGCGUGCGAUGAUGAACCACCGAUCGGUCCGAGGAAUCCGGUGGCUAGGAUUUCGUUUUAGGUGUCCGUAAGGCGGCAACGUGAGAAGGAGGUCGCUGCUAUGACUCAUGCAGUGGCAGGGGAUGAUGGUGAUUAUCGAUCUAUUCUGUGGAAAGAUGAAGUAACCAGGACCACACGUGUUGAGGAAUUUUGUUUCAUCACAUAUACUACUUACACAAAAUCAGAGAUUUCUUGAGUCUUGCAAGAGAAACCCUUUUUUUAAACGGCGUAGAGAAACCCUAAAACACAAAAUUGGUCGGAUCAUGAAAGAUUUUCGACCUGAAAUCGCUGUUAGGGGCCACAAUCAAACGCACAAGAGGUUGAGAGUUGUUCAGUGGAUGAUCCAGAUCUCCGUUUCACAUAUUUUUGAGUUUUUUUUUCUCAAACACAGUGGUGGUGAUAACCCCCACGAUGGAAGAUGUCGGAGAUGGCGGUUGUGGGUGGAAACCUAGACGGCUGCGGAGGGUGCCGGUAUUUGCUUUCAGCAAUUCUUCUGUGGAGUUUGGGUAGCUUUUUGAAUUAACAGUUUUUAUGUGGAGGCAUUGACUUUUUUGGUAAUUUUAUUCCUGCAGUUAGAAGAACAUCACAUGUGUAAUGUGUAAGUGAAAUGAGCUGAAUCGAACAAUGAG